This 301-nucleotide ribosomal RNA is filed under the name uncultured bacterium. RNAcentral's name for it is "partial 16S ribosomal RNA". It matches the Rfam family "Bacterial small subunit ribosomal RNA", at positions 509 to 807 of the family's 1533-position model. The record is from RNAcentral.
CAGCAGCCACGGUAAUACGCAGGGUGCGAGCGUUAAUCGGAAUUACUGGGCGUAAAGCGUGCGCAGGCGGUUGUGUAAGACAGGUGUGAAAUCCCCGGGCUUAACCUGGGAACUGCGCUUGUGACUGCACAGCUAGAGUAUGGCAGAGGGGGGUGGAAUUCCACGUGUAGCAGUGAAAUGCGUAGAGAUGUGGAGGAACACCGAUGGCGAAGGCAGCCCCCUGGGCCAAUACUGACGCUCAUGCACGAAAGCGUGGGGAGCAAACAGGAUUAGAUACCCCGGUAGUCCCUGUCUCUUAUAC